This 705-nucleotide long non-coding RNA is filed under the name Rattus norvegicus (Norway rat). Its description in RNAcentral is "long non-coding RNA NONRATT015144". The record is from RNAcentral. Lineage: Eukaryota; Metazoa; Chordata; Mammalia; Rodentia; Muridae.
UCCCUCGAGUAGACUGAAGCGCCCACAAGAGCCUGUGUAUCCUGAAAGUAAACCCUCUUGCUGAUUGCAUCCGGUGGUCUCGGUCUGGUCAAUGGGCUUGAGGGUCUCCUUCCUGAGAAAAAGUUCUACUUUUCAUUUGGGGUCUCAUCUGGAAUCCGGAGAUCCUCCACCCAGGAGCCACCGACUACCCACCGGGAGGUCUUCUUUACCACUGAGGAAAGAUAGAAUCCUACUAAAGGCCAGAAAAAAAAAGUUCCAGACACGGAUGAAAGGCCCUCACUUCUGCCUGUUGGAUUCAAUACGCCUAAAGAGAUAAGUGCAUGCUACAAUGAAGGACAACACAAAUGUCAUCUGGAAUGGACAAACCUAUACCCCCCAGCACAUCAGCGCCACAGAUGUCUUACCAUCUCUUGGAUGCCCUGAUGAAGCCAACAACUGUGAGUAUUAUUCAUUGCCCAGGACAUCAGGAAGGAAGAGAUUCAGUGACAUGGGGCAGUAACAAAGCAGAUAAAGUGGCUCGGGAAAUGGCUAUACAGGAGCCUAUCCUGGUUACAGGCCUACAAGAGACAGCCACUGGGAACUGGGAUUGGACUAAGGGAUGGCCUCACUUAGAAUGUACAACAGAAGAAAAGGCCCAAAUUGCUUAAAAAAAAGACAAUGACACACUUGAGGAAAAACUAUAUUCCUCAGAGAACAAACAAAAGA